This 2111-nucleotide ribosomal RNA is filed under the name Salmonella enterica subsp. enterica serovar Infantis. RNAcentral's name for it is "partial 23S ribosomal RNA". It matches the Rfam family "Bacterial large subunit ribosomal RNA", at positions 711 to 2802 of the family's 2925-position model. Lineage: Bacteria; Pseudomonadati; Pseudomonadota; Gammaproteobacteria; Enterobacterales; Enterobacteriaceae. The record is from RNAcentral.
AGACCCGAAACCCGGUGAUCUAGCCAUGGGCAGGUUGAAGGUUGGGUAACACUAACUGGAGGACCGAACCGACUAAUGUUGAAAAAUUAGCGGAUGACCUGUGGCUGGGGGUGAAAGGCCAAUCAAACCGGGAGAUAGCUGGUUCUCCCCGAAAGCUAUUUAGGUAGCGCCUCGUGAAUUCAUCUCCGGGGGUAGAGCACUGUUUCGGCUAGGGGGCCAUCCCGGCUUACCAACCCGAUGCAAACUGCGAAUACCGGAGAAUGUUAUCACGGGAGACACACGGCGGGUGCUAACGUCCGUCGUGAAGAGGGAAACAACCCAGACCGCCAGCUAAGGUCCCAAAGUCAUGGUUAAGUGGGAAACGAUGUGGGAAGGCCCAGACAGCCAGGAUGUUGGCUUAGAAGCAGCCAUCAUUUAAAGAAAGCGUAAUAGCUCACUGGUCGAGUCGGCCUGCGCGGAAGAUGUAACGGGGCUAAACCAUGCACCGAAGCUGCGGCAGCGACACUCAGGUGUUGUUGGGUAGGGGAGCGUUCUGUAAGCCUGCGAAGGUGGCCUGUGAGGGUUGCUGGAGGUAUCAGAAGUGCGAAUGCUGACAUAAGUAACGAUAAAGCGGGUGAAAAGCCCGCUCGCCGGAAGACCAAGGGUUCCUGUCCAACGUUAAUCGGGGCAGGGUGAGUCGACCCCUAAGGCGAGGCCGAAAGGCGUAGUCGAUGGGAAACGGGUUAAUAUUCCCGUACUUGGUGUUACUGCGAAGGGGGGACGGAGAAGGCUAUGUUGGCCGGGCGACGGUUGUCCCGGUUUAAGCGUGUAGGUGUGUGUUCCAGGUAAAUCCGGUUCACUUUAACACUGAGGCGUGAUGACGAGGCACUACGGUGCUGAAGCAACAAAUGCCCUGCUUCCAGGAAAAGCCUCUAAGCAUCAGGUAACAUCAAAUCGUACCCCAAACCGACACAGGUGGUCAGGUAGAGAAUACCAAGGCGCUUGAGAGAACUCGGGUGAAGGAACUAGGCAAAAUGGUGCCGUAACUUCGGGAGAAGGCACGCUGACAUGUAGGUGAAGUGAUUUACUCAUGGAGCUGAAGUCAGUCGAAGAUACCAGCUGGCUGCAACUGUUUAUUAAAAACACAGCACUGUGCAAACACGAAAGUGGACGUAUACGGUGUGACGCCUGCCCGGUGCCGGAAGGUUAAUUGAUGGGGUCAGCGCAAGCGAAGCUCCUGAUCGAAGCCCCGGUAAACGGCGGCCGUAACUAUAACGGUCCUAAGGUAGCGAAAUUCCUUGUCGGGUAAGUUCCGACCUGCACGAAUGGCGUAAUGAUGGCCAGGCUGUCUCCACCCGAGACUCAGUGAAAUUGAACUCGCUGUGAAGAUGCAGUGUACCCGCGGCAAGACGGAAAGACCCCGUGAACCUUUACUAUAGCUUGACACUGAACAUUGAGCCUUGAUGUGUAGGAUAGGUGGGAGGCUUUGAAGCGUGGACGCCAGUCUGCGUGGAGCCGACCUUGAAAUACCACCCUUUAAUGUUUGAUGUUCUAACGUGGAUCCGUAAUCCGGGUUGCGGACAGUGUCUGGUGGGUAGUUUGACUGGGGCGGUCUCCUCCUAAAGAGUAACGGAGGAGCACGAAGGUUGGCUAAUCCUGGUCGGACAUCAGGAGGUUAGUGCAAUGGCAUAAGCCAGCUUGACUGCGAGCGUGACGGCGCGAGCAGGUGCGAAAGCAGGUCAUAGUGAUCCGGUGGUUCUGAAUGGAAGGGCCAUCGCUCAACGGAUAAAAGGUACUCCGGGGAUAACAGGCUGAUACCGCCCAAGAGUUCAUAUCGACGGCGGUGUUUGGCACCUCGAUGUCGGCUCAUCACAUCCUGGGGCUGAAGUAGGUCCCAAGGGUAUGGCUGUUCGCCAUUUAAAGUGGUACGCGAGCUGGGUUUAGAACGUCGUGAGACAGUUCGGUCCCUAUCUGCCGUGGGCGCUGGAGAACUGAGGGGGGCUGCUCCUAGUACGAGAGGACCGGAGUGGACGCAUCACUGGUGUUCGGGUUGUCAUGCCAAUGGCACUGCCCGGUAGCUAAAUGCGGAAGAGAUAAGUGCUGAAAGCAUCUAAGCACGAAACUUGCCCCGA